Molecule: ribosomal RNA, 494 nt
Filed under: uncultured bacterium
Lineage: Bacteria
Description: partial 16S ribosomal RNA
Rfam family: Bacterial small subunit ribosomal RNA
Source: RNAcentral
GACGAACGCUGGCGGCGUGCUUAACACAUGCAAGUCGAACGGUGAAGCGCCUUCCUUUUUGGUGGGUGUGGAUGAGUGGCGAACGGGUGAGUAACACGUGAGUAACCUGCCCCCUUCUUCUGGAUAACCGCAUGAAAGUGUGGCUAAUACGGGAUAUUCUGGGUCUGUCGCAUGAUGGGUCUGGGAAAGAUAUUGUUUCGGUGGGGGAUGGGCUCGCGGCCUAUCAGCUUGUUGGUGGGGUGAUGGCCUACCAAGGCGGUGACGGGUAGCCGGCCUGAGAGGGUGGACGGUCACACUGGGACGGAGACACGGCCACGACUCCUACGGGCGGCAGCAGUGGGGAAUAUUGCACAAUGGGCGCAAGGCUGAUGCAGCGACGCCGCGUGAGGGAUGGAGGCCUUCGGGUUGUGAACCUCUUUCGCCAGUGAAGCAGGCCUGCCGCGUUUGUGGGUGGGUUGACGGUAGCUGGAUAAGAAGCGCCGGCUAACUACGUG